CGGAGAAGCGGGUAGCUGAGG
RNAcentral lists this unclassified non-coding RNA (21 nucleotides) under Chlamydomonas reinhardtii. RNAcentral's name for it is "small RNA Cre_1296". Lineage: Eukaryota; Viridiplantae; Chlorophyta; Chlorophyceae; Chlamydomonadales; Chlamydomonadaceae. The record is from RNAcentral.